UACGUAGGGGGCAAGCGUUGUCCGGAAUCAUUGGGCGUAAAGAGCGCGUAGGCGGCCCUGUAAGUCCGCUGUGAAAGUCAAGGGCUCAACCCUUGAAUGCCGGUGGAUACUGCAGGGCUAGAGUCCGGAAGAGGAGAGUGGAAUUCCUGGUGUAGCGGUGAAAUGCGCAGAUAUCAGGAAGAACACCUAUGGCGAAGGCAGCUCUCUGGGACGGUACUGACGCUGAGACGCGAAAGCGUGGGGAGCGAACAAGGAUUAAGAAACCCUA
This 268-nucleotide ribosomal RNA is filed under the name uncultured bacterium. Its description in RNAcentral is "partial 16S ribosomal RNA". It matches the Rfam family "Bacterial small subunit ribosomal RNA", at positions 524 to 789 of the family's 1533-position model. The record is from RNAcentral.